This is a non-coding RNA of Salmo salar (Atlantic salmon), 2023 nucleotides long. The record is from RefSeq and is a predicted model, not a curated record. NCBI's taxonomy places the organism in Eukaryota, Metazoa, Chordata, Actinopteri, Salmoniformes, Salmonidae.
AACUUCCAACUUCAACUGUAUAUUUUGUAUGCAGCUGUGGUGGUACUAGCUAAGUCAUGUCUGACUACAACAGUGUACAACAAACCCAAACCAACCCAGGGCCAUAGCAAAAUAUGUCACAGAUGAUUACAUAGUGUAACGGCGUCACCUGCCAAAAUCGAAUCCAAUCUGGAGCCAGUCAGUCUACAUCUGUAAAGCAUAGAAUUAGUUUCCAAAAAAGAUUACGUUAUUUCUCGAAAUAUGUUUAUAAUUGAGGGAUGAUGACAAUCGUUGAUCCUGUUUUUUCAGUUAGACAAAGUGCACAGUUGGGUGUCAGACUUAUCCCCUGGUCAUGAACGGAUGCUGGGACCUAUCAGAAGAAGUAAAGGUCCUCCCAGUGAACACCACCUCAUAAGAUUGCCUGCUGCGGUUGUUCAAGAGAUGGACUGGGGGAGGGGCCCUCAUCAGCAUCAUGCAGACAAGCGAUUGCUGUGAGCAUUCCUAUGAAUUGAUCAGUCAGCCACAUAUUGGCAAGUAUCUGUCCAGAAACAUUCACUUGUCAGCAUCAACAACUUUCACAGGCUCAUCAUUUGUACAAAUACAGAAGGUAAACCACUUCAUUCCUUUGAUACAUUUGAUAAGCCAAUUGUGAAACAAUAUAUGUAAACUGACAUUAUUUGGUGCUUAUUUUCUACUUCUUAGAUGCAUAUAAUGCCCAGGGCAUAAUGUAGCCUGGUUGAACCACCUGAUCGCCGUGUUCACCAUUCUAUUUCACUUUACAUUUGAUGAUAUUUGAAGUGAAAUAGAAAGGUGAACGCAGUGAUCAGGUUGGUUCCACCAGGCUAAUCAUAACCAUUAUUGAUAAUGCAAUCAGUGCUCUGUGUGUGCGCGUACGACCGCCUGACCGACCGACCGAGGAGCUGAUCUACGCUGCUAUGCCCAUCAAUGGGGCUCUGGCAAAGACCUCACCUCCAGCCUCACCUCUUGCCUCCUCAGCAACGGUUGUCGAUGGGGAGAACAGAAUUAGGUAGGUUUAGUCUGACCCGUUCAAACUUCAACAUAGUAUCUGUUUGUGUGCCAGAUAUGACCUAUUCUAACUGCUAUUGGUAAUAGAACAGUGACUGUUCACAGAUACCUGUACGGAGCCAGCACUUUGGAAACUUGUUAUGGUGGUACUACUGAUGUCUGACUAUAACCGGUUACAACAAACCCAAACCAACCCAGGGCCAUAGAACAUGUCACAGUUGGUUGCAUAGUGUAACGGCAUCACCGGCCUGAAUCUAAUCCUACACCUGUAGGGAUAUUAGUUCUGGGAUUUGUCUCCCGGGAAAGAUCUAACAGCGGACAUGAGGAGAGAUGAGACAAAACCAUCCAGUUAUAGAAUAUUGUGUUAAAGGACAGCUGAGCUUACUGUUGACCUCGGGCAUUCAACUCGCAGUAGUCGAUAUUAUUUCCACGGUAACAUGUAUUUACAUGACUUGUUGAAACUAAGUUCCAAGCUACUUUGGUAGCAAGGCGUUGUAGAACGAGUGUCUUAUGAAACACAUUCCAGACACUGGCUCUUGCUAUGUUGCAAUAACUGAUUUGACAGAGACAUAUCAGCUAGAUGGUAUAACCAGCUGCAGCUAUUAAAAAGCUAUGCUAACUAGCUGCUGUCAGCUUGGCUAAAUACAAGCAAAAGUGUAAAGUACUCAAGUAAAAAAUACUUUAAUGUACUACUUAAGUUGUUUUUUGGGGUAUCUGUAGUUCACUUUGCUAUUUAUAUUUUUGAGAACUUUUCAUUUUACUCCACUACAGUUCUAUAGAAAAUAUACUUUUUACUCCCAUACAUUUCCCUGACACCCAAAGUACUUGUUACAUUUCGAAUGCUCAGGCAGGACAACAAUAUGGUCCAAUUCACACACCUAUCAAUAUAACGUGUUGCCAUCCCUUCUUCCUCUGAUCUGGUGGGCUCACUCAACACAAAUACUGUGUUUGUAAAUGGUGUCUGAGUGUUGGAGUGUGCCCCUGGCUGUCUGUAAAUAAAACAAAAUUAUAAAAAAAA